UCGCUGCCCGGAACUGAGCCGUUUCGAGAAGAACAGGGACUGCUGAUUGGUGGCUCUUUGGAGCUGCCUCUUGGUGGAAACUGUUUUAAUCGCAGUGGCUUGAACCGGGCAA
Molecule: ribosomal RNA, 112 nt
Filed under: uncultured eukaryote
Lineage: Eukaryota
Description: partial small subunit ribosomal RNA
Source: RNAcentral